GAUGAAGAACGCAGUGAAAUGCGAUAAGUAAUGUGAAUUGCAGAAUUCAGUGAAUCAUCGAAUCUUUGAACGCACAUUGCGCCCGCCAGUAUUCUGGCGGGCAUGCCUGUUCGAGCGUCAUUACAACCCUCAGGCCCCCGGGCCUGGCGUUGGGGAUCGGCGGAAGCCCCCUGCGGGCACAACGCCGUCCCCGAAAUACAGUGGCGGUCCCGCCGCAGCUUCCAUUGCGUAGUAGCUAACACCUCGCAACUGGAGAGCGGCGCGGCCACGCCGUAAAACACCCAACUUCUGAAUGUUGACCUCGAAUCAGGUAGGAAUACCCGCUGAACUUAAGCAUAUCAAUAAGCGGAGGA
Molecule: unclassified non-coding RNA, 353 nt
Filed under: soil metagenome
Description: partial contains 5.8S ribosomal RNA, internal transcribed spacer 2, and large subunit ribosomal RNA
Rfam family: 5.8S ribosomal RNA (bases 1-120)
Source: RNAcentral